UCGAUUCCCUUAGUAGCGGCGAGCGAAACGGGAAGAGCCCAAACCAACAAGCUUGCUUGUUGGGGUUGUAGGACACUCUAUACGGAGUUACAAAGGACGACAUUAGACGAAUCAUCUGGAAAGAUGAAUCAAAGAAGGUAAUAAUCCUGUAGUCGAAAAUGUUGUCUCUCUUGAGUGGAUCCUGAGUACGACGGAGCACGUGAAAUUCCGUCGGAAUCUGGGAGGACCAUCUCCUAAGGCUAAAUACUCUCUAGUGACCGAUAGUGAACCAGUACCGUGAGGGAAAGGUGAAAAGCACCCCGGAAGGGGAGUGAAAUAGAACCUGAAACCGUGUGCUUACAAGUAGUCAGAGCCCGUUAAUGGGUGAUGGCGUGCCUUUUGUAGAAUGAACCGGCGAGUUACGAUUUGAUGCAAGGUUAAGCAGUAAAUGUGGAGCCGUAGCGAAAGCGAGUCUGAAUAGGGCGUUUAGUAUUUGGUCGUAGACCCGAAACCAGGUGAUCUACCCUUGGUCAGGUUGAAGUUCAGGUAACACUGAAUGGAGGACCGAACCGACUUACGUUGAAAAGUGAGCGGAUGAACUGAGGGUAGCGGAGAAAUUCCAAUCGAACCUGGAGAUAGCUGGUUCUCUCCGAAAUAGCUUUAGGGCUAGCCUCAAGUGAUGAUUAUUGGAGGUAGAGCACUGUUUGGACGAGGGGCCCCUCUCGGGUUACCGAAUUCAGACAAACUCCGAAUGCCAAUUAAUUUAACUUGGGAGUCAGAACAUGGGUGAUAAGGUCCGUGUUCGAAAGGGAAACAGCCCAGACCACCAGCUAAGGUCCCAAAAUAUAUGUUAAGUGGAAAAGGAUGUGGCGUUGCCCAGACAACUAGGAUGUUGGCUUAGAAGCAGCCAUCAUUUAAAGAGUGCGUAAUAGCUCACUAGUCGAGUGACACUGCGCCGAAAAUGUACCGGGGCUAAACAUAUUACCGAAGCUGUGGAUUGUCCUUUGGACAAUGGUAGGAGAGCGUUCUAAGGGCGUUGAAGCAUGAUCGUAAGGACAUGUGGAGCGCUUAGAAGUGAGAAUGCCGGUGUGAGUAGCGAAAGACGGGUGAGAAUCCCGUCCACCGAUUGACUAAGGUUUCCAGAGGAAGGCUCGUCCGCUCUGGGUUAGUCGGGUCCUAAGCUGAGGCCGACAGGCGUAGGCGAUGGAUAACAGGUUGAUAUUCCUGUACCACCUAUAAUCGUUUUAAUCGAUGGGGGGACGCAGUAGGAUAGGCGAAGCGUGCGAUUGGAUUGCACGUCUAAGCAGUAAGGCUGAGUAUUAGGCAAAUCCGGUACUCGUUAAGGCUGAGCUGUGAUGGGGAGAAGACAUUGUGUCUUCGAGUCGUUGAUUUCACACUGCCGAGAAAAGCCUCUAGAUAGAAAAUAGGUGCCCGUACCGCAAACCGACACAGGUAGUCAAGAUGAGAAUUCUAAGGUGAGCGAGCGAACUCUCGUUAAGGAACUCGGCAAAAUGACCCCGUAACUUCGGGAGAAGGGGUGCUCUUUAGGGUUAACGCCCAGAAGAGCCGCAGUGAAUAGGCCCAAGCGACUGUUUAUCAAAAACACAGGUCUCUGCUAAACCGUAAGGUGAUGUAUAGGGGCUGACGCCUGCCCGGUGCUGGAAGGUUAAGAGGAGUGGUUAGCUUCUGCGAAGCUACGAAUCGAAGCCCCAGUAAACGGCGGCCGUAACUAUAACGGUCCUAAGGUAGCGAAAUUCCUUGUCGGGUAAGUUCCGACCCGCACGAAAGGCGUAACGAUUUGGGCACUGUCUCAACGAGAGACUCGGUGAAAUCAUAGUACCUGUGAAGAUGCAGGUUACCCGCGACAGGACGGAAAGACCCCGUGGAGCUUUACUGUAGCCUGAUAUUGAAAUUCGGCACAGCUUGUACAGGAUAGGUAGGAGCCUUUGAAACGUGAGCGCUAGCUUACGUGGAGGCGCUGGUGGGAUACUACCCUAGCUGUGUUGG
This 1986-nucleotide ribosomal RNA is filed under the name Staphylococcus aureus. RNAcentral's name for it is "partial 23S ribosomal RNA". It matches the Rfam family "Bacterial large subunit ribosomal RNA", at positions 231 to 2217 of the family's 2925-position model. Lineage: Bacteria; Bacillati; Bacillota; Bacilli; Caryophanales; Staphylococcaceae. The record is from RNAcentral.